UAAGGAAUAUUGGUCAAUGGGCGGAAGCCUGAACCAGCCAUGCCGCGUGCAGGAAGACGGCCCUACGGGUUGUAAACUGCUUUUGUACGGGAAUAAACCCCGGUAUGUAUACCGGGCUGAAUGUACUGUAAGAAUAAGGAUCGGCUAACUCCGUGCCAGCAGCCGCGGUAAUACGGAGGAUCCAAGCGUUAUCCGGAUUUAUUGGGUUUAAAGGGUGCGUAGGCGGCCUUGUAAGUCAGGGGUGAAAGACGGCAGCUUAACUGUCGCAGUGCCUUUGAUACUGCAGGGCUUGAAUGUACUUGAAGUGGGCGGAAUGUGACAAGUAGCGGUGAAAUGCAUAGAUAUGUCACAGAACACCGAUUGCGAAGGCAGCUCACUAAAGUAAGAUUGACGCUGAGGCACGAAAGCGUGGGGAUCAAACAGGAUUAGAUACCCCUGUAGUCC
Molecule: ribosomal RNA, 444 nt
Filed under: uncultured bacterium
Lineage: Bacteria
Description: bacterial SSU rRNA
Rfam family: Bacterial small subunit ribosomal RNA
Source: RNAcentral